Molecule: ribosomal RNA, 493 nt
Filed under: uncultured bacterium
Lineage: Bacteria
Description: partial 16S ribosomal RNA
Rfam family: Bacterial small subunit ribosomal RNA
Source: RNAcentral
AUUGAACGCUGGCGGCAUGCUUUACACAUGCAAGUCGAACGGUAACAGGUUAAGCUGACGAGUGGCGAACGGGUGAGUAAUGCAUCGGAACGUGGCCGAUCGUGGGGGAUAACGCAGCGAAAGCUGCGCUAAUACCGCAUACGAUCUGAGGAGGAAAGCGGGGGAACGUACGGCCUCGCGCGAUCGGACCGGCCGAUGUCAGAUUAGGUAGUUGGUGAGGUAAAGGCUCACCAAGCCAACGAUCCGUAGAUGGUCUGAGAGGACGACCAGCCACACGGGGACUGAGAAACGGCCCAGACUCCUACGGGAGGCAGCAGUGGGGAAUUUUGGACAAUGGGCGCAAGCCUGAUCCAGCAAUGCCGCGUGCAGGAAGAAGGCCUUCGGGUUGUAAACUGCUUUUGUACGGAGCGAAAAGGCUCUCUCUAAUACAGGGGGCUCAUGACGGUACCGUAAGAAUAAGCACCGGCUAACUACGUGCCAGCAGCCGCCGUAA